UGCUUUGAGUUCCUGCGGGUAGCCUGAGGU
This 30-nucleotide non-coding RNA is filed under the name Mus musculus (house mouse). Lineage: Eukaryota; Metazoa; Chordata; Mammalia; Rodentia; Muridae. The record is from RNAcentral.